GGAACAAGUACUAUAUAUAUGACCAGCAGUUUUUAGGCAACAGAGUGAAGUAAACACCACGCUUAGGUUGAGAAGAAAACUCAUUACUACAAAGAAAUUCCUAUUUAUAACUACAAAGUUAAACGAAAACAUUGAAAGAAGAAAUAAUGUUUGGAUUACAGCUGAAAAACAUAAAUGCACUCAAAACACUUGAACGCUGCCUGCAUACUCUCAUUUAGUAGCCUGUGCAAUGAUGUUACUAAGAGAACUUGCCUCUUCUUUGGCAGCCUCAACCAAAGAAUCCUGUGCAGCAAUUAGACGUGCAACUGUUUUCUUGCUUGAUUCUUGGAGUUCACCAGCAAUCACAAGUUCGUCCAAUAUAUAGUAUGCCUUGUGAAAAUUGAAAAUUAAGUCUAGCUCACAUACACUUCCAAAGUAUCGGUCCAGAAUCUCAACAAAAUGGUGUAUGAUUUCCAGGACCUCCAACUCAUUGUCCUCUUGGUCUAUGCACAUACAGAAAUACAGGCUUGCAUAUCUUUUAUAAACGACUUUGUAUCCUCUCCACUCGACAAAAUUGCAAAGCUUCGGUCCUCGAGUGAGAAUCAUACCACUUAAUUCACGGAUUACCUUGGUUCUCUCUUUUUGUGAAUAUGGUGAAUACCACUUGGUUAGCCUCACCUUUCCCUGUCGGCUAAUGAGCAGAACAAAAUGAAUCAUGGCUGGAGAUCCAAGGUACAAACAACUCCUCCUUCUUCUUCUUUGGAGUUGGGGGAUUUUUUGUUCCUAUUCCUAUUAUUUCUAUAUACUCUAUUUUCUGUACAGUCUUGUAUUUUUU
Molecule: unclassified non-coding RNA, 814 nt
Filed under: Hevea brasiliensis (rubber tree)
Lineage: Eukaryota; Viridiplantae; Streptophyta; Magnoliopsida; Malpighiales; Euphorbiaceae
Source: RNAcentral